GUGCUUGCUUUGGCAGCACAUACACUAAAAUUGGAAUGAUACAGAGAAGAUUAGCAUGGCCCCUGUGCAAGGAUGACACACAAAUACGUGAAACGUUAUUCCAUAUUUUU
Molecule: small nuclear RNA, 110 nt
Organism: Nycticebus coucang (slow loris)
Lineage: Eukaryota; Metazoa; Chordata; Mammalia; Primates; Lorisidae
Source: RefSeq, a predicted model, not a curated record